RNAcentral lists this long non-coding RNA (4330 nucleotides) under Selaginella moellendorffii. RNAcentral describes it as "long non-coding RNA (SMOE_LNC001603)". Lineage: Eukaryota; Viridiplantae; Streptophyta; Lycopodiopsida; Selaginellales; Selaginellaceae. The record is from RNAcentral.
ACAACUUUUAGUAAAAAACAAUGGAAACACAAGAGCACGCACGCACUUACGUGUUUUCGGCAGGUGCCAUUGAAUCCUGUGAAGCGGUAAUCCGAUGCGGUGGAGAGGCCAUUCCCUGUGUCGACGAGGUAUUCAAAUGCGUUCUGGGGAAACCCGCUGUGGCAGCCAUCGGUGCCGUAGCUCCGGGAGCAAUCCAGCAGCUGCUGCGCCGACAGCUCCACCAACACUCCAGUCGCAAUCUUGUUGAUUCCCUCGAUGGCUUCUGCCGCCGCAAAAGCCCAGCUACCAUCUGUAUCGUGAUAUACCACUAAAGUGCGAAAAAAGGAUUAAAGAUUUAUACUCUGGCAUCCUUUGCGAUCUUUCACAGGUGUGACGGCCCCCAAACGUCUCCAGUCCAUGGACUUGGGGGGACCAGAGCCAACGUCGCCAAACAUUCUGAUGCCUGCAUUACCAUUCGGAUUAGUAUCACUUGCGGCAUUUGGAUCUGCAGCAAGCAGUAAUAGGAGGAUGGAAAUCGAGACCAAGGGAUGCAGAGACAUUCUUAGGGAGUUUCUUAUCUCGAGAGAACGAAGGGUUAUAUAGCAGGUCACAACACCCCACGAGACUCAUGCGGGUGAACACACUGUCCAUCACACUAACACAUUGAUAGAGACUUGGUUGACUUGAACAGAUUUACUACUGAGAAUGAAGUCAAGGAUAGACAACGCACGAGGCUGGCUUAGAAAUGGCAUGGCAAGUAAACAAUUGGGAACCUCUGAAGUGCUUGAAUGAAUAUUGGCGGCUCGUCCAAUCCACAGCUUGAAUAUUUCGCCAACUCGCAUCUCUGGAAUAUCAUUUAUCAGAACUCCGCGUUUGCAGCCUCGCAAUAGAGAAGACAUCGAAUCUUACACGAAAGCGCUGAGAUUUCAACCCAGCCGUACGGAACAUGGUCAAAUGUGUGAUCACCUCCACCUCCAUCUGAAUGGAAACACCGAGUAAGAACCAAAACAAGAAAACUCUCUCGAGAACCUUAAAGUCGUAGUUGUGAAUCUGGAUCCAGCGUGUAUGAAAAAUGAAAAACUUGGGCUGAAUCCGCCCAUGAGCUGGAAGACGAGCUCCAGGGGCAGCGGUGCUGGCGGCUGUGCAUGUGCCAAUCCCGAGAUAUGGAUCCCAAAUUGUCCUCGUAACCCACCCUGUUCUUCCACGAUGAUCUCAGUAGCUUUACAAUCGCCAUGGCGGGAUUGAUCACUGUCACCCGGAUAUCGAUAUGGCCUUUGGAAAAGUUACCUUGGCUAAUAUCCAUACCUAUUACUAAAAGUUCCAAAAGGGAUGAGGGCGAGGGAGGUCUUGGCUGUGGUGAUAGAGAAUCAGGAGCUGGACACGGAUUUCUGCAGUGCGCUUGGCAAACUCUACUUAGAAUUCGAGGAGCUCUUCCCGGACGAGGUAAUCAACGUGAUUUUGGAUAGGGCAAUGCCACUGCAUGCAUGGGGAUUCCACAAGGUGACCAACAAGAGAUGUCACAGCAGGAUGGUGCAGAGGGUUCUUGAUGGCGGUUUUAUGAUGCUGGCUCUAGACAUGCUGGACGAAACUUGCGACCAGGAGACGUUUACAAGAGUUCUUGCGCACCCGCACCAAUAUAAUCACAGGGAAUACACUGGAGUGCUGAAGCACAAGGUGUCCUCUGCCAUGGAAAAGAUGAGGAAACUGAAUCUGAGGAGGGAGAUUCUGGUGUUUGAGAAUCUGGUCCAUUUGCACUUUGCUCCUGAGGAUUUGGAGAGGCUGUUUCGAGAGAUGAUCAAUGAGCAUCCUUGUAUAACAGCAGAGCUAAGUGUCUACCAGAAAGUUUUCGAUUCCUCGCACAAGCUAAGUUUCAAACACUUGGUUGCAAAGGAGGCCAGGGCCAAGGGCGUCAAGCUGGUGGUAAGCUCAAACCUCUUAGAAAGUAGCAGUGGUUAUAGUGAUGAUGAUUGGAGGAAGAUAAUGGGUCUAGUACUUGAGAUUGUCGAGGAGCCAGUGCAAGCUUAUCAGAUCAUGCUGAACAAAUCCCAGGACGCUGAUGUUGUCACGUCUAUCAUCAGAGAAGCCAUCUGCAUGGGAAUGGCACUGGAUGUUACACCCAAGCUGGUCAAGAAGCAUUUGUAUUUUGAUCUCCAGGAAAGGCUGGGGAAGCAUUUUCUCGUCACAAACUUAAAGAAGGGGCUGAUUAAGCUAAACGACGAGGCACUAGCCAAGAGUUUAGACGAUCACAACUCCAGUGCCGGUGUGGUGUUUGAGCUCGCAACAAGAGCAACAAGUCAGGGCUUCCCUCGGGUUUUGGAGGAGAUUCUUUGCACCGAGAAGAAUCCCGAAGUUGCUCGUUUGAUGUUCCAGUUCGAGGCCUUCUGUAACCUGGUGGAGCCAAAUGAAAAGACAUGCAAGCUUCUGGCUAAUAAACUCUUGAAAAAGGAUAUGGUAAUUGAAGCCCAGUUUGUGAUAGAUACGUGCUGCAGAACUCACCCCAAAUCGCUGAUUGAGAAAAACUUUGGUGAUGAGGAGAAUGAGGAAAACUUUGGUGAUGAGGAGAGUGACUAGCUUUUAAACAUGUUUAAAAGAUAUGACAGAAAAAUACAUACAUGUUUAAGGAGAGCAUCCAUAUGCAGUACAUUUAUUUGUUCCACCAGGGGCCGGGACGAAACAAAGCUGCAGCUAAUCCUCUUGUAGCACGGAACUGGGGGUGAUGGCGGAGAGAGAUAGUCGAGGAGAGGGCGGCGGUGGAGAUGGCGGUGGUGGUGGAGACGAUCAUGCAGAUGGUUCUCUGAUGGGAAGUAGACAAUGGCGUUCACCCUGCAUCGAACCAGUGGGAGGCAAUGGGCUCCAUGCUGCAACCUCAUGUAUUCGCUGUUGUUGGAUCUAUAGCCGACGAUGAGCACUGCUAGAUAUAGACUUGCCUGGUCGUCUUUGCACGGGCCUUGCAUUUUUAGGGUCUCCUUCACAAAAGAAGAAAAGAAUGAUUUUUCUCAUACCCCUUUGUUAGUUAAAUUCAUCUGUUACGGCCUGAGGAUGUCCAUGUCAUUGCUGGAGCUGUAGAUAUUGUCAUAGUUGUACCAAUUCCAAAAGAGAUGCUGACAUGCAAAGUUUAAAACCAUGGAAGUUUUCUCUGCAAGUCUGGUGGCUUAAGGGCACAUGCUUACACAACAACCUCUAUAAAUUUGGACGUUAAAACCAUUAUUCAGUCGUUGGUCUGGAGGCAAACUUUUAACGACGUAUUUCACCAAAUGCUAUGCAAGUCCAUGGUGGGAUGGGAUCAAAUGAACGCUAAUUUGAGUUUCUUUUAAACAAGUUUGAAGUUUGGAAUUCGUGACAUCUAAGGGAAUUUAGUCAUGUUUAAAGAGAGUAGCUCAUUUUAACGCGAAGUGUGGAACGGCAAAAUAAAACUGCAGCUAACCCACGGAAGGUCGAGGAGAGGGUGGCGGCAAAGAUGACGGUGGUGGUGGUGGCUAUGGAGAUGGUCGUACCUUCUUUUUGACAGGAAAGUAGACGGAGCCAUUUACUCCACAUCGACCCAGUGGAAGGCCAUGGUUUCCACGCUGCAGCCUCAUGUAGCCUUUCUCUCCCCAGCUUGUCCCCGCCGAGUUUUUGAUGAUCCAAUAGUCUUGGCCGUUUUCGGAUCCAUAGCCGACGAUGAGCACUGCUAGAUACGGAGUUGCCUGGUCGUCUUUGCACGGGCCCUUGUAAAUCCCCUGCAUUUUUAGAACUUUGGGCUUGAGCGAGUUUUCCUUCAAAAACGAAUGAUUUUUCUCAUACCCCUUUGUAGCGAAGGAACUCCGGCGCGUUGCCAUCGAUGAGAGCUGUCACUGGCUGCUUGGCAACCUGCUUGACGAUCUCAGUGUCGUCGCUGGAGCCGUAGAAAUUGUCGUAAUUGUCAAUGCUUACGGAGUAGCGGUUCUGGAAGAGCACAACUUUAGUGAAAAACAAUGGAAACACAAGAGCACGCACGCACUUACGUGUUUUCGGCAGGUGCCAUUGAAUCCUGUGAAGCGGUAAUCUGAUGCGGUGGAGAGGCCAUUCCUUGUGUCGUCAAGAUAUGCAAAUGCGUUCUGGGGAAACCCGCUGUGGCAGCCAUCGCUGCCGUAGCUGCGGGAGCAAUCCAGCAGCUGCUGCGCCGACAGCUCCACCAACACUCCAGUCGCAAUCUUGUUGAUUCCCUCGAUGGCUUCUGCCGCCGCAAAAGCCCAGCUACCAUCUGUAUCGUGAUAUACCACUAAAGUGCGAAAAAAGGAUUAAAGAUUUAUACUCUGGCAUCCUUUGCGAUCUUUCACAGGUGUGACGGCCCCCAAACGUCUCCAGUCCAUGGACUUGGGGGGAUCAGAGC